Zea mays is the source of this 1591-nucleotide long non-coding RNA. RefSeq lists it as uncharacterized. The transcript is spliced from 3 exons. Lineage: Eukaryota; Viridiplantae; Streptophyta; Magnoliopsida; Poales; Poaceae. The record is from RefSeq and is a predicted model, not a curated record.
UCGGCCGCCGCACCCCUACCCCGACGCGCCCGCGCCGCCGGCCGCAUCCUGCCCCGAUGAGCAGCUGGUUGAGCUUGGUGACGAGCUGGUAGUUGACCUUGCUCCACCACAGCGCCUCCACCGUCACCGCUGCGUCAGCCCAAAGGAGGAUGUCGUCCAGCGCGGUGUGGCUCUGCCCCUGUGGCUGGGCCACCCACUCAUCUAUCGCCACGCAGGAGAAGUAAAGUGCAGGACAGUAUAAGGGUCGCCGUAAUUAUGAUCCAUGCAAGAAACAACGCUCUGCCAAAAUUCAGAAAUUGUAAAACAUUAGUCUUUAGCACACACACCAAAUAUCUAAUCGAACGCGCGUAAGCUCUAUGUAUGUGCUAUUGUGCUUACGUGGACACAAGCGACUUCUUCCCGGUCAACGAGAACGCUGCAAUAGGUUGAGGAUAGAAAUUGCGUAAGAAUCAGAAAAAUAAAUGGUCUCGUAAUUUCAAGUACUAGUAUAUAUAUCUUUCUUUUGAUUUGAAGACUUGGUCAGAGCAAUUUAUGCUCACCGAAGCCAACAUGCACGAGGACCAGCAUCACGGCCGCGACGCCGAUCAGGACCUUCCUUCUGCAACCACGCAAAGCAAACAACCGAUCAAGAUCAGGAUCAUCCAUGGACGGUGCCACGAGCUCACCUCACGCGCAACGCAUUAAGAACUAUGCAGGUCACAGGCGAGGCGACGAAUCAGAGCCAGCGACCACGCUUUUGGUACGGUACGUACAUGGCGUCCAACGACGUUCGGAUCCUGUGGGAGUUACAAUGUCUAGCGGGUGCAGUGUCCAGUGAUGUUCAAAUAUACCUUAGGGCUUGUUCGUUUCACCGUUAAUCCAUGUGGAUUGGGUGGUAUUGAGUCGGUUUAAAUCCAUAACAAGUCAAAAUCCAUCCCAAUCCAUUUCAAUACACAUGUAAUUGGAAUAACCGAACAAGACCUUAAGGGGCACAGAAAACCAGAUCCUUCAAAUCUAGAUGUAUUGUGUAGCCAAAAGGCUACAGAUCAUCUCGUGAGUGUUUUGAAAUAUUUGGUAGGCUCUGUUUAUAUGGAUUUUUGUAUGUAAGAUUGUAUUGUUCUUUUGUAUGAGGCUGCAUAUGGCAAAGUAAUGUCUAGUUAGAACGGACCAGACUAUGACUGGAGGACCCCACCUAUUGAUCCUCAGGUUGUGUAUGCAAGUGGUGGAAAAGCUCAUGGAAGGUACACAAUGUUUGCUAACGUCAUCGACUCGAGCCAGGUGAGGGUUAAGCGUGGAGGUUCGUCGAGGUAUGAUGCUCGUAGCUCCCGUCGCUCCACUCAAGAUCCAGCAGAAGUGGCGCAACUCCGAGAAGAACUUAGGCGACAUCAGGAUUAUUUGAGACAACGCGCAACAUGAAUACUAUGCUACAUAGAUUCAAGAACAGCAAACACUCAUACAAGUUCAAAAGAUAAUAGCUUUCCCUUUAAGAUAUGUAUUGAUUUAAAACGCUGAUGUGAAUGAGUUCAACAAUUUUGUAGCAACUAGCACAAGUGUAAUACCCAAAAUUUGUAAAUCAUAAGAAGGAGAUAAUGUCCUUAUGUGUUUUGCUUCU